GAUGAACGCUGGCGGCGUGCCUAAUACAUGCAAGUCGAGCGAACAGACGAGGAGCUUGCUCCUCUGACGUUAGCGGCGGACGGGUGAGUAACACGUGGAUAACCUACCUAUAAGACUGGGAUAACUUCGGGAAACCGGAGCUAAUACCGGAUAAUAUAUUGAACCGCAUGGUUCAAUAGUGAAAGACGGUUUUGCUGUCACUUAUAGAUGGAUCCGCGCCGCAUUAGCUAGUUGGUAAGGUAACGGCUUACCAAGGCGACGAUGCGUAGCCGACCUGAGGGGGGGGUGCCCGCCUGAGAGAGUGACCGGGGACCCAGGCACCGAGGGAAGGCACCGGUGGGUAAUCUUGCGAACUGGGGGAAAGCCUGCAGGACCAACGCACGCUGGAUAAAGAAGCGCCGCGGUUGGGAAAACGGUUUUUGUGGGGAAAAACAAUUGUAGAAAUAACGAAGCCGGUGUGAAGGUAGCUAAAGAAGAAGCCCCGGCCAAAUACGGG
RNAcentral lists this ribosomal RNA (496 nucleotides) under uncultured bacterium. Its description in RNAcentral is "partial 16S ribosomal RNA". It matches the Rfam family "Bacterial small subunit ribosomal RNA", at positions 28 to 507 of the family's 1533-position model. The record is from RNAcentral.